CAGGCAGCUAACAUCAAAUUCAGGCUUGGUGAGCUCUGAACGUGCCUGCUCCAUGGAGGUGCAUGUGGAGCCUUUUGAAAGGAAUUUCCUUAGCUGCUGUUCUCGCUCUUUUGAGUCAUAACCGCAGUGUGCGUGGUGCUGCCCAAGUGCAGCAAAUGACACGAGGCUCACACUUUGGAAGAGGUGUCUCAACAGCUUUCCCUGCAGCAUCUUGGGCAACUUUUCCACAGAGCUGCCAGCUGUUCGUGACACCAGGCUGGCAUGAUUUGUGCCAGCAGCACCGGCAGCCCAUCCCCAAGAGGAAGCCACCAUCCUGAAAGCACGCAGUGCCCUGAAGUCUGUUACAACAAGUGGGCUGAUGUAGCCUGUGCCCACUUGGAGUCAGGCUCCUUAUGAGGUAUCAACAGUGACAAGGCUUUUUGGAAAGCCUCCACCUGAGAGGAAUCAUCCAUGCCCCCACGGGUUUAAAAACUAUCUCCUGGAACUUCUAAAAACUUGAAAAAACCCUCCCAGUGCUCUGGAUUUAAGCUCCCUUAUGUGAAAGUGCACCAAUGAAAGCAAACAGAUGCAUCCCUGCCUACAGGAGGUAAGGCAAGAAACAGGCAGAGCCCAGCAACACACAGUGCCCUGCCAGCUCCUGCAUGGCCCUGGUGCAUCCCUGGGGCUGGACCCCCAUCACAGCGUUUCUGAGAGCCUGCCCCUUGCUCUCAAAGUCCACAGAGCACUUGCAGAUGGGUCUCUCUCACCUUCCUCUCUUUGGAGGUGGUUUCUUUGAGCAGCCUGGGAUGUGUCAGGGAGAGACCUUGUUUUUAUAACCUCCUGUUAUGGCUGGAGGUGAUGCCUCUGUGGUGACAGCUGGGAAGCAGGCUUUGAUCUGGUGCAUCAAUGCCUCCUCUGGGAAUUCAAGCCUCUGAGCCUUACUUGCCCUGGGCAAUCAUUAGGAGGAUUUCCCCUAAAUAAAGAGCCAUCA
Molecule: long non-coding RNA, 970 nt
Filed under: Junco hyemalis (dark-eyed junco)
Lineage: Eukaryota; Metazoa; Chordata; Aves; Passeriformes; Passerellidae
Description: lncRNA (ENSJHYG00000000995.1)
Source: RNAcentral